Molecule: non-coding RNA, 406 nt
Filed under: Helianthus annuus (common sunflower)
Lineage: Eukaryota; Viridiplantae; Streptophyta; Magnoliopsida; Asterales; Asteraceae
Description: Group I catalytic intron
Rfam family: Group I catalytic intron
About the family: Group I catalytic introns are large self-splicing ribozymes. They catalyse their own excision from mRNA, tRNA and rRNA precursors in a wide range of organisms. The core secondary structure consists of 9 paired regions (P1-P9).
Source: RNAcentral
AUGCUAGUUUUCUUAGUCGUAGACCAAAUUAGAAAACCAGGAUCCAAUUAGAGAAAAGUGAUAACUUUCAAAUUUAGAGAAACCCUAGAAUUAAUAAAAAUGGGCAAUUCUGAUCCAAAUCACGUUUUCCAAAAACAAACGAAAGUUUAGAAAACAAAAUUAAAAAAGGAUAGGUGCAGAGACUCGAUGGAAGCUGUUCUAAUGAAUGGAGUUGAUUAUCUUACAUUGGUAGACGAAUCCUUCUAUCAAAACUUCAGAAAAGAGGAACGAUAAACCUGUAUACCAAGAAGAAUUGGUGUGAAUUGAUUUCAUAAUGAAGAAAGAACCAAAUCUGAUAGAUCUUUUGAAUAACUGAUGAAAUCAGAUGAGAAUAAAGCUUGUGUCCCAUUCUAUAUGCCAAUACCGG